UAAAGGAAGUUAAAUGCAGUAG
RNAcentral lists this microRNA (22 nucleotides) under Panagrellus redivivus. RNAcentral's name for it is "prd-miR-7912-3p". The record is from miRBase by way of RNAcentral. Lineage: Eukaryota; Metazoa; Nematoda; Chromadorea; Rhabditida; Panagrolaimidae.